This 252-nucleotide long non-coding RNA is filed under the name Elaeis guineensis (African oil palm). Its description in RNAcentral is "long non-coding RNA (EGUI_LNC036357)". The record is from RNAcentral. Lineage: Eukaryota; Viridiplantae; Streptophyta; Magnoliopsida; Arecales; Arecaceae.
CUUUGUGAUCUUCUAUUACAAGAAGUGAAAUCCAUAGGCUAUUCCAUAUAGAAAUCUUCAAAAGAUCUCUACUCAGGAAAGCUAUUUCACCUCCCUUUCUUGGAGUCGAUGUCUGACAUCGCCUCAUUGUAGGCUUUGGGAUUAUCUCUAUGUUCCCAUCUCCCAUGAGAAAUAACUUUUUCAGCAUUCUUUGUUAAGCAUACCUAAGUACCUUUUGAGAAGAUUGGAGAUCUUACUAUGUGUACGAGGUGG